Molecule: non-coding RNA, 102 nt
Filed under: Kurthia sp. 11kri321
Lineage: Bacteria; Bacillati; Bacillota; Bacilli; Caryophanales; Caryophanaceae
Also listed under: 1 other name
Description: Purine riboswitch aptamer
Rfam family: Purine riboswitch aptamer
About the family: Riboswitches are metabolite binding domains within certain messenger RNAs that serve as precision sensors for their corresponding targets. Allosteric rearrangement of mRNA structure is mediated by ligand binding, and this results in modulation of gene expression.
Source: Rfam by way of RNAcentral
AAACAUACACACGCAUUCACUCAUAUAAUAGUGGGAAUAUGGCCCACGAGUCUCUACCGAUUUGCCGUAAACGAAUUGACUAUGAGGAAGCAUGAUUUAUUG